ACACACACACACACACACACAAACGUUCUGCUUAUCUUUUAGUAGGGAGGGGGUGCAGUUGACUCUCAUACAUUUAUAGGUGUGUGUGUGUGUGUGUGUGUGUGUGUGU
Non-coding RNA from Podarcis lilfordi (Lilford's wall lizard), 109 nucleotides. The record is from the annotation of a GenBank genome assembly. Lineage: Eukaryota; Metazoa; Chordata; Lepidosauria; Squamata; Lacertidae.